Molecule: ribosomal RNA, 468 nt
Filed under: uncultured bacterium
Lineage: Bacteria
Description: partial 16S ribosomal RNA
Rfam family: Bacterial small subunit ribosomal RNA
Source: RNAcentral
GACGAACGCUGGCGGCGUGCUUAACACAUGCAAGUCGAACGGAAAGGCCCUGCUUUUGUGGGGUGCUCGAGUGGCGAACGGGUGAGUAACACGUGAGUAACCUGCCCUUGACUUUGGGAUAACUUCAGGAAACUGGGGCUAAUACCGGAUAGGAGCUCCUGCUGCAUGGUGGGGGUUGGAAAGUUUCGGCGGUUGGGGAUGGACUCGCGGCCUAUCUGCUUGGUGGUGGGGUAGUGGCUUACCAAGGCUUUGACGGGUAGCGGGCCUGAGAGGGUGACCGGCCACGUUGGGACUGAGAUACGGCACAGACUCGUAUGGGAGGCAGCGGUGGGGAAUAGUGCACAAGGGGCGGAAGCCUGAUGCAGCAACGCCGCGUGCGGGAUGACGGCCUUCGGGUUGUAAACCGCUGUCGCCUGUGACGAAGCGUGAGUGACGGUAAUGGGUAAAGAAGCACCGGCUAACUACGUG